GAUGAACGCUGGCGGCGUGCCUAAUACAUGCCAGUCGAGCGAACAGACGCGGCGCUUGCUCCUCUGACGUUAGCGGCGGACGGGUGAGUAACACGUGGAUACCCUACCUAUAAGACUGGGAUAACUUCGGGACACCGGCGCUAAUACCGUAUGAUCUAUUGAACCGCAUGGUUCAAUAGUGAAAGACGGUUUUGCUGUCACUUCUCGCUGCAUCUGCGCCGGAUUAGCUAGUUGGUAAGGUAACGGCCUACCAAGGCAACGAUGCGUAGCCGACCUGAGAGGGUGAUAGGCGACAUUGGAAGUGGGACACGGUCAAGACGCCUAAGGGAGGCAGCAGAAGGGAACCGGACGCAAUGGGCGAAAGUAUGACGGAGCAAGGCGGAGUGAGUGAUGAAGGUCUCGGGAUCGUAAAAAUGGGUUAUGAGGGAAGAACAAAUGUGGAAGUAACUAUGCGCGGCUUGACGGUACCUAAUCAGAAAGCCACGGCUAACUACGUG
Molecule: ribosomal RNA, 497 nt
Filed under: uncultured bacterium
Lineage: Bacteria
Description: partial 16S ribosomal RNA
Rfam family: Bacterial small subunit ribosomal RNA
Source: RNAcentral